UUCUCAACACUUGACAUGUGUCCAUAUGCAUAACCAUAGUUAACUUCUACUUUGUAUUUAUGGAACCAUGGUUAUGCCUAUGGACACGUGUCAAGUGUUGAUAA
Molecule: microRNA precursor, 104 nt
Filed under: Prunus persica (peach)
Lineage: Eukaryota; Viridiplantae; Streptophyta; Magnoliopsida; Rosales; Rosaceae
Description: miR6264 stem-loop (ppe-MIR6264)
Source: miRBase by way of RNAcentral